GACGAACGCUGGCGGCGUGCUUAACACAUGCAAGUCGAACGGUGAAGGGGUCUGCUUUUGUGGGCCCUGGAUGAGUGGCGAACGGGUGAGUCACACGUGAGUAACCUGCCCCCUUCUUCUGGAUAACCGCAUGAAAGUGUGGCUAAUACGGGAUAUUCUGGGUCUGUCGCAUGAUGGGUCUGGGAAAGAUUGCGCCUUUGGGUGUUUUUGGUGGGGGAUGGGCUCGCGGCCUAUCAGCUUGUUGGUGGGGUGAUGGCCUACCAAGGCGGUGACGGGUAGCCGGCCUGAGAGGGUGGACGGUCACACUGGGACUGAGACACGGCCCAGACUCGUACGGGAGGCAGCAGUGGGGAAUAUUGCACAAUGGGCGCAAGCCUGAUGCAGCGACGCCGCGUGAGGGAUGGAGGCCUUCGGGUUGUAAACCUCUUUCGCCAGUGAAGCAGGCCUGCUCCUUGUGGGUGGGUUGACGGUAGCUGGAUAAGAAGCGCCGGCUAACUACGUG
This 502-nucleotide ribosomal RNA is filed under the name uncultured bacterium. RNAcentral describes it as "partial 16S ribosomal RNA". It matches the Rfam family "Bacterial small subunit ribosomal RNA", at positions 28 to 507 of the family's 1533-position model. The record is from RNAcentral.